Molecule: ribosomal RNA, 483 nt
Filed under: uncultured bacterium
Lineage: Bacteria
Description: partial 16S ribosomal RNA
Rfam family: Bacterial small subunit ribosomal RNA
Source: RNAcentral
GACGAACGCUGGCGGCGUGCUUAACACAUGCAAGUCGAACGAUGAAGCUGGAGCUUGCUCCAGUGGAUUAGUGGCGAACGGGUGAGUAACACGUGAGCAAUCUGCCCUUGACUCUGGGAUAACUGCGGGAAACUGUAGCUAAUACCGGAUACGACACCUUGGGGCAUCCCGGGGUGUGGAAAGAAUUUCGGUCAAGGAUGAGCUCGCGGCCUAUCAGCUUGUUGGUGAGGUAAAGGCUCACCAAGGCGACGACGGGUAGCCGGCCUGAGAGGGUGACCGGCCACACUGGAACUGAGACACGGUCCAGACUCCUACGGGAGGCAGCAGUGGGGAAUAUUGCACAAUGGGCGAAAGCCUGAUGCAGCAACGCCGCGUGAGGGAUGAAGGCCUUCGGGUUGUAAACCUCUUUUAGCAGGGAAGAAGCGAAAGUGACGGUACCAGCAGAAAAAGCACCGGCUAACUACGUGCCAGCCGCCGCCGUAA